GUGCGCAGGCGCUUGUCCCUUCGCGGGGUUGCCCGUGCGCUUCGCCUGCGGGGUCGUGCUGGGGCCGCGGGUAUGCUAUUUGAAGAAUAGGUUUCCAUGCUCUUAGAGGAGCAUCAGAAAAUGAACAAACCCCAGAAGUCCAGAAAUUAAGAGACCUGAUAAAGGGAAGCCAGGAAAAUUGAGAUACAUAUUUGUGGUACACUUCAAUCCUCAGUAACAACACACUGACUAAGAAGAGGGAGUACAUUUUUGGGAAAAACCUUAAUCCAGGUGCAAACCCGGUUUCUUCAAGAAAAAUAACCUGUCAGUAUGACUCAUGUGGAAUGAGUUUGAAUAUGUUUCAGAAUCAAGUAUUAGUGACAAAAAUUAUUCCAGUAAUAACACUGAUGAAAUUAAUAUAAGUGAGAAGUUGCCUUUUGAUAGUAAUCAGGAAAACACUCAUACUGGAAAGAAAUCUGUUGAAUAUAACCAAAGUGGGAAGUCACCAAGUCAUAGUGAGGACCUUACUGAGGAACAGGAAAGUCAAGCUUUGA
This 533-nucleotide non-coding RNA is filed under the name Pongo abelii (Sumatran orangutan). Lineage: Eukaryota; Metazoa; Chordata; Mammalia; Primates; Hominidae. The record is from RNAcentral.